UACGUAGGGUGCGAGCGUUAAUCGGAAUUACUGGGCGUAAAGCGUGCGCAGGCGGUUCGUUGUGUCUGUGGUGAAAGCCCCGGGCUUAACCUGGGAAUGGCCAUGGAAACUGGCGAGCUGGAGUGUGGCAGAGGGGGGUGGAAUUCCGCGUGUAGCAGUGAAAUGCGUAGAGAUGCGGAGGAACACCGAUGGCGAAGGCAGCCCCCUGGGUUGACACUGACGCUCAGGCACGAAAGUGUGGGGAGCGAACAGG
Molecule: ribosomal RNA, 253 nt
Filed under: uncultured bacterium
Lineage: Bacteria
Description: partial 16S ribosomal RNA
Rfam family: Bacterial small subunit ribosomal RNA
Source: RNAcentral